ACUGGGCGUAAAGCGCGCGUAGGUGGUUUGAUAAGCCGGUUGUGAAAGCCCCGGGCUCAACCUGGGAACGGCAUCCGGAACUGUCAAGCUAGAGUGCAGGAGAGGAAGGUAGAAUUCCCGGUGUAGCGGUGAAAUGCGUAGAGAUCGGGAGGAAUACCAGUGGCGAAGGCGGCCUUGUGGACUGACACUGACGAUGAGGUGCGAAAGCGUGGGUAGCAAACAGGAUUAGAUACCCUGGUAGUCCACGCCGUAAACGAUGUCGACCAGCCGUUGGGUUCCUAGCGCACUUUGUGGCGCAGUUAACGCGAUAAGUCGACCGCCUGGGGAGUACGGCCGCAAGGUUAAAACUCAAAUGAAUUGACGGGGGCCCGCACAAGCGGUGGAGCAUGUGGUUUAAUUCGAUGCAACGCGAAGCACCUUACCUACUCUUGACAUCCUGCGAACUCUGUAGAGAUACAUUAGUGCCUUCGGGAACGCAGAGACAGGUGCUGCAUGGCUGUCGUCAGCUCGUGUUGUGAAAUGUUGGGUUAAGUCCCGUAACGAGCGCAACCCUUGUCCUUAUUUGCCAGCGCGUAAUGGCGGGAACUCUAAGGAGACUGCCGGUGACAAACCGGAGGAAGGUGGGGACGACGUCAAGUCAUCAUGGCCCUUACGAGUAGGGCUACACACGUGCUACAAUGGUCGGUACAAAGGGUUGCCAACUCGCGAGAGUGAGCCAAUCCCGAAAAGCCGAUCUCAGUCCGGAUCGGAGUCUGCAACUCGACUCCGUGAAGUCGGAAUCGCUUGUAAUCGUGGAUCAGAAUGCCACGGUGAAUACGUUCCCGGGCCUUGUACACACCGCCCGUCACACCAUGGGA
Molecule: ribosomal RNA, 857 nt
Filed under: Vreelandella aquamarina
Lineage: Bacteria; Pseudomonadati; Pseudomonadota; Gammaproteobacteria; Oceanospirillales; Halomonadaceae
Description: bacterial SSU rRNA
Rfam family: Bacterial small subunit ribosomal RNA
Source: RNAcentral